UGUUGCUUUGAAUUAUUGUUAGUUCGCAUUGUUCAGUGCUGCUUCUCACAACAUAAAGUGUAACAAAUAAUCUCCAAUUGUGAUCUUCAAAAAAUAGUCGUUAUUGGAUGUAAUCGGAUAAAUGUAGCCUCGGUGUCAUUUCCAGAGUAAAUAAAAAAAAAUUAACAACAACAACAACAUUAUGAAUAACAGUAUCAAUUAUGAAUAACAGUAAGGCCUAGUUUUUGAAAUAGCACCUAAAAAUAGAUUUCCACUUCAUUUCCUUCCGAAACAACUAAAUUCUCUGAUAAUGAACAAGUUUAGCGUAAACUUUGAAUAACAUUUGGAAGAGAGACUACAUAAAUGUGCAACGGAAAUCUUGAAAAAAAAAAGACUUAGGGAUAAGUGCAUUUUUGAAAAUCAUUUUCAAAAGAUAUAGCUUUCUUUAUAAUAGAUGAUGGAACGUGAAUAGAUAACGAUUAUAAGGUGUGAUAUGACAGAUAUGCGUUUUAGAUUGUGAAUGCGGACAGUUGUGUAUGCAGAAGCCUUGGUAAAAUUGUGUACUGCCUCCAUAAUGCAGGAAGGUAAUGUGUGAUAUUGUCAAAUUACGUGAUGCGAUCAAUUGUGUGCUAAAACCCUUUAAGGCAGGAAGGUAAUUGUGUUUAAUAGUAUCACAUUACUGAGUUACAAGAUAUAUUUAUUACACAAUGAAUAGGUCUCAUUAAUUUACAAUCGUAAGAACAGUAUAUUUGCGAUCACAGAAAUUCUUGUGAUAUUGAUGAUAUACGUGUUUACCAUGUUCAGUUACUGUGUUUUUCUUUUUUUGUGGAAAAAAUACUAUAUAUAUGAACUUUUCUAAAAAUAAACCGAAUCUUAUUAAACAGGAAACGCAUUUAUCGUAACUGCACAUGUCAACGAACUUUUCAGUUACUCAAUUAUCUAUUGUUUUACUUUACCUGUCUGUCUGACAAGUGUUACGUUGGCGUUUACAUGCAGUGAAGAAGUAAUACAAAAAGUGACCUGAGUAUAUUAAUAUUACAUUUAACCUUAAAAGCAAAUCGAAGAUUUAAUUGUGUCAGUGUGCUAUACAUAUAUGCAGGAAUAAUUCAUAUAUCUUAGGUAAGCCUUCUUUUUUUCUUUUUUAAGUUAUCCAUUUCAAAGGACCUUUAACGUACAGGGCGGGCCUGUGGGUCUGUCCUGUGGUGGCAACAGCCAAUUUUAAAUAGUUCUAUCAAAAAGUGUUAUUUUCAACACAUUUUAACAUCUUGUCUAUGUUGUUAAAAUAUAUUUAAACAAACCAAAGACAAAAUAGGCGUUAAUGACCUUAA
Molecule: long non-coding RNA, 1307 nt
Organism: Ruditapes philippinarum (Manila clam)
Lineage: Eukaryota; Metazoa; Mollusca; Bivalvia; Venerida; Veneridae
Exons: 3
Source: RefSeq, a predicted model, not a curated record